AUGACCUUACAUGAGUUAACAGCUGGACUCUGUAGCUUCAUUAAAUCAAUUAAUUACACCGAGAUUUUAGAGAAAGUAUGGAUCCGAAGUUCAAAACCAUAUCCAAUUAGCUUGUCUCUCAGAAAACUACAAGGAUUGCUAAAGGAUGAUUUACCCAUGGACCGUGAUUGCUUUAAUUUGAUCGUACGGAAGAUUAUGUUGGAUGACAUCCAAACAUCACAAAAAACAAAGCAACUGAUAGCAAAGCAUUAUCUCGACAUGAAAUUUUGGAUGACUACUGAUUUUGGAAGGCACCCAGAUUUUCGUAAAAAGUUAGAUGUGGAGCAACUAGCAAAUUCUGUUCGUAGUUGGCCUGGUAUCAAAUAUAAUGUUUCAACAUGCAAAUCGAUCCAUAUUCCAGUACAAUGCAUUGAUGAAUUCAUUCUAUUCACAUUGGAUCAAGAUACCAGAACAGUGUACAUUUUGGACCCUACUCCUAUUAAUCCAAUGUACCGAUACAACCCACUCGCAAAAUAUGUGAAAAAAAUUAUAUGGAUUUCCGAACAUUUACCGAAAGCAAUGUCAAAAGCAUGCCCUGGGUCUAGAUGGAACGAGGAUAUUCUCUUAUGGCAUCAUAGAAUCCUAGAUGAUAUUCCAGUUUACAACAGGGAACUGUCUGGUUAUCUUGUUCCCCUAUUCAUGUCCACAUGGGAAGACGAAAGACCACAUUUGCCAUUUUUAAAGGAUGGAUAUGAACUCAGAAAACUAAUUUUGGGCCAACUACUAACAUUCAAGGACAAUGAAUGUGAAGAUAACAUGCCUGCUGGUGUACUGGACUUCAUCAAUUGUAUUAGGAAAAUCCAAAGUUAA
RNAcentral lists this ribosomal RNA (849 nucleotides) under Triticum aestivum (bread wheat). Its description in RNAcentral is "partial small subunit ribosomal RNA". The record is from RNAcentral. Lineage: Eukaryota; Viridiplantae; Streptophyta; Magnoliopsida; Poales; Poaceae.